RNAcentral lists this ribosomal RNA (254 nucleotides) under uncultured bacterium. RNAcentral's name for it is "partial 16S ribosomal RNA". It matches the Rfam family "Bacterial small subunit ribosomal RNA", at positions 524 to 776 of the family's 1533-position model. The record is from RNAcentral.
CACGUAGGGGGCAAGCGUUGUCCGGAUUUAUUGGGCGUAAAGAGCUCGUAGGCGGUUCGAUAAGUCGGGUGUGAAACCUCCAGGCUCAACCUGGAGACGCCACCCGAUACUGUUGUGACUAGAGUUCAGUAGGGGAGCGUGGAAUUCCUGGUGUAGCGGUGAAAUGCGCAGAUAUCAGGAGGAACACCAGUGGCGAAGGCGGCGCUCUGGGCUGGAACUGACGCUGAGGAGCGAAAGCCAGGGGAGCAAAUGGG